Long non-coding RNA from Panicum virgatum (switchgrass), 1338 nucleotides. RefSeq lists it as uncharacterized. The transcript is spliced from 2 exons. NCBI's taxonomy places the organism in Eukaryota, Viridiplantae, Streptophyta, Magnoliopsida, Poales, Poaceae. The record is from RefSeq and is a predicted model, not a curated record.
UUUUUCUGCUAGAAUUGGAGAAAUUGACUUAUAAGAUUAUUUAUCCCCCAUUAUGUAGACUAAAUCGGCCUGCCUCCAUUGCCUCCACAUGGUGCAGGUUGUAUGUUGCAUCCAAUUACCAUUUUCCACUAAUUAAUUGUAUUCUGCGUAUUGCUUGCCUAAUUCCUUUCAAAUGUCUAACACUCCAACUCACUCGAGCUCAGGUUCACUUCCUACAGAUGAUGAAGAUAUUAUAGAUUUAUAGAUUGAUAGGUGGGGAUGAACAGACUUGGCACUUGUUAGGCAUUUUUUUAUAGUUUUCAUUGUGUUUGUUGUACAAUUAGACUUGGCAUCGGAGAUAUAAUAUAAUGCGCUGGGGUGAUUUUCUGCUAAAGGUCCUUAGUUUGUUUCUAAAAUAUGACAAUUAAUUGGUUAGUACACAGUACUGACAAUAUGGGCAAGAUCAAAAUUUACACUAUCAAGAUUUUUGGGUUGCUCUCACAAGCUGCAGAUUGCAGAGAUAUACGUGUGUUGCAUUACCUUUGUGAUGAACUUCAUUAAAUUGGUUACUUAUAUUUGUUGUAGGAUUUCCACUACAACUAUCUAUUCCUUUUCACUGUUUCCAUAAAUUAUACUUAUAAUUGAACCCUGUCCUAUGCUGCAAAUGCAAGGUUCAUCAUUUGUGAAGCCACUUUGGUUGGCAAGAAUUUUACUUAGAUUAACUUUGUUCUGUACUGCAAGCUUUGUCAUACUUCUCUGUUUAUGAAUUAAGUUGGUUACUACCAACUAUGCAUCUUUCUUCAAAGUUAGAUCAAAAUAUUUUCUCCAUACCACCUGCCACAUGACUAUACAAUUACCAUGUUUGAGAAAAGAUAUUGCAGCCAUUCCUUUCAAUGCAGGUUUUAUUUGCUGGGCGAUGUUAUAUAUGAUCAUUGGAGGAGUAACCUUAGGGUGUACUAAGUAUCAAAUGAUAUCACAUAAUGUAGUGGGUAUCAUUGAAAACAGAUUUGACUGAACAUUAGAGUCUCACUCUCACACAAGGGACAUCUUUUUAUGUGUUUCUCAGGAGAAGGUUACCUUGAAUUUCGCCGGCCUUCUUUUAAAUGAUAUGGUUGAAAUGAUCAGUGACAGAAUUCUUAUGUUUGGAUGCAUUCAAGAAUGGAUCAAGAAACAAUGGAUUUUAGGAUUUCUGGAUACUUAUACUUAAUUUCUUCUUUCCAAUAGUAUAGACUGUACAUUUCACUACAAUGUAUUCUCUAAAUGUAUACUUUUACGUAUACUACAUAUACGUUUGUUUCCUUUCUAUGAUCAAUGUACCUUCUUGUACCUUCUGAUUAUUGAAAAUUAUAGUUUGUGUUA